GCCGGUGCUUGAUGAUAGAUCCGGGGAAGGAGUUUCCCGAACCGGGCGGUGCCCGUGCAUUGCAAGGCGCGGCGCCGUUUACAUA
Molecule: small RNA, 85 nt
Organism: Clostridium sp. CAG:43
Lineage: Bacteria; Bacillati; Bacillota; Clostridia; Eubacteriales; Clostridiaceae
Rfam family: COG2827 RNA
About the family: Clostridiales.
Source: Rfam